This 70-nucleotide transfer RNA is filed under the name [Eubacterium] saphenum. It matches the Rfam family "tRNA". From Rfam's summary of the family: Transfer RNA (tRNA) molecules are approximately 80 nucleotides in length. Their secondary structure includes four short double-helical elements and three loops (D, anti-codon, and T loops). Further hydrogen bonds mediate the characteristic L-shaped molecular structure. tRNAs have two regions of fundamental functional importance: the anti-codon, which is responsible for specific mRNA codon recognition, and the 3' end, to which the tRNAs corresponding amino acid is attached (by aminoacyl-tRNA synthetases). tRNAs cope with the degeneracy of the genetic code in two manners: having more than one tRNA (with a specific anti-codon) for a particular amino acid; and 'wobble' base-pairing, i.e. permitting non-standard base-pairing at the 3rd anti-codon position. The record is from RNAcentral. Lineage: Bacteria; Bacillati; Bacillota; Clostridia; Peptostreptococcales; Anaerovoracaceae.
GGCAUUGGCGCAGUUGGGAGCGCGUUUGACUGGCAGUCAAGAGGUCAUGGGUUCGAAUCCCAUAUGCUCC